RNAcentral lists this long non-coding RNA (209 nucleotides) under Elaeis guineensis (African oil palm). RNAcentral describes it as "long non-coding RNA (EGUI_LNC032550)". Lineage: Eukaryota; Viridiplantae; Streptophyta; Magnoliopsida; Arecales; Arecaceae. The record is from RNAcentral.
GGGCUAACAUGGGUUGGAGUUCGGUGUUUGAAAAUAGUUUCAAGUUUUAUAAAAUAUUUUUACAAACUGUCAUACAGUCAAAUAAACUUUAAUUUUAGAUCUAAUAUAUAAUAUAUCAGAUCUAAAAUAAAAAUUUUUAACUCUUUUCAUUGUUCAUCUUUAUGAAAAAGACUGUGCAGCACUCCUACAUGGCAUAGGAGAACCCCAUC